RNAcentral lists this long non-coding RNA (2100 nucleotides) under Piliocolobus tephrosceles (Ugandan red Colobus). RNAcentral's name for it is "lncRNA (ENSPTEG00000017403.1)". The record is from RNAcentral. Lineage: Eukaryota; Metazoa; Chordata; Mammalia; Primates; Cercopithecidae.
AGUAACAAGGAGGCAUCCUCCUCACAACAAAGAAAGGUGGGAGGAAGGGAGGGACAGGGAGAGAGAGAGCUAGAGAGACAGAGAGAAAACAGAUGGAUCUUUUCCCCAAUCAGUAAGAAACUUUCAAAAUAUUUUAAUACCUUCUUUUAAAUAUGAUUCAAACUAUGUUUUUUAAAACCAUGAAUCACACAAAGAAAUGAAUCUAAUUUGACCCACACACAGACUGAAAUCAGCUUCACAAAGCGGUUGUUACUCUUACUAAAUGUGACGCAUUCAGGUAUUUUUUGUUCUAUUUCAUUACAUUAAACAAAAAAUGCUGGUCACUGCCUACCAAGAGGUUCACACAGCUCACUGACUAACUCAGGGGUACUUGUCACUCCCGGACACUUGGUCCCCAGCCCACCCGGCUCUCCUCUAUUGGAAGCAAGCUGCCUGAGGCUCUUUUAAGUGCUCUCCUUUCUCCUCCAGGAAUUGGAAUCUGCCCAGCUGAGCCCCAGACGCUGGAGGGGUCCCGGGGGUCAGUCAGCCCUGCGCCACCCUCCGGUUCCUCUUCUGGCCAUACAAGGAAGUCCAGUGCGGGGAUGACUAAGCAGCUGACCUGGGGGAGAGCAGCCCUGGAGCGGAGGCAGGACUGCCUCUCCUGCCAGCCAUCAGCCCCUGUGGGUUUGUCCUGUGGUGAAAAGUCCCAGGCCUCCCACCAGGGAGCACCUGACCUCUCUGCUCCCUGAGAGGAGUGAAGUGAGCCUCAAUGUCUGCCGGUAGAGGCACAGCCUUGCACUGACAUCGGGCCCUAAGCUCUAGUUCCACACAGAGAUAGCGGGUCUGUCCUGGCCUCCCAUGGGCUCCCAGGGGCAGGGAGAUCUGGCCUGACCUUCCCAGCAACGCCUGCCUCAGUGGAGAAAACCCAGCUUCCCAGCAUCAGGACACACUCUCUCUCACACCCUCCAUAGUUCCCACUGACCUCACCGCAAAGUCCACAGUAGAAACUCAGAGUCCUACUGAGGAGACACCUGCCCAGCUGUCAGCCUGCUUCCUCCACCUGCUCCCCCCACCUGCUCUAUCUCUUGCUGUCUACACUCGUUCCCCCCACCUGCUUGCUCACCUGCUGUCUACACCUGUUCCCCCACCUGCUGUCUCACCAGCUUCCUCCACCUGCUCCCCCAACCUGCUUUCUCAUCUGCUUCCUCCACCUGCUCCCCCAACCUGCUCUCUCACCUACUGUCUACACCUGUUCUUUGCUCUGGCUGCCUCCACCCAUCCAGCUCCCCCACACCCUUCUUGGACACUGCCCGGCACUUCCCAGCUCCCUCACACAAUGCUGCCCGCCCCCCAACUCACGUCCUGCUUUCUCGAUGGUCUUCCCAGAGGAGGUCCCACCUUCCCAGCCCCUACCUGCUCCUCAGGUCACCAUUUCCUGGAACCACCUUCCAUCCCCCAGAACUCAGCUGGGCCCUGCAGACAUGUACAUGUUACCAGGUGACGUGGCCACUCCUCCUGCAAAGCUUUCCCAGGUGUCUCUGUUUUUCUUGUUCUUCAGAAUGAUAAAAGUUCCCAGAUCCCAGGGACUUUUAGACUGCUCCCACCACAGAGCUGGCCAGCGCAGAGAAAUGCUAGGGGUAAGUCCAUGACGCGGGGCCUGUCUUCCGGGCUGGGAGCCUGGAGUCACUGAAUCAGGAAGCCAGCCCAGUGCCCAGGGCUUCACUUUCCUGCUGCGUGUUCAGUUUUGAAAGAGAGGAAUACUAAUGAAGUUUGCUUAACCUCCUAAGUGAGUGUGUGUGUGCAUGUGAAUAUAUGCACGUACACACACACACACACACACAUACUCACACACACACACGCACACACACCAGCCCCUGUAAACAAGGUUGCAGGUUCCAGAGAGGAUGGCUCCCUCAUCCUACAGAGAAUUAAGACAAAUCCUCAUGAAGCAAGGAGCAGAAGUCAGGGGGAAAUCAUUAACUCUGAAUGAGAAUCUCAGGAAUUCAUAAACAUGAUCUGAAAUUAGCCACCUCCAAGGAAGGGUUCCAGAAGCCUAUUUUGUAGGAAGAAAUUUGAGGAUCCACUGCCAAUAAAAUUAGAAUCAUUCCUGGAAUGUUGCCA